This 404-nucleotide ribosomal RNA is filed under the name uncultured bacterium. RNAcentral's name for it is "bacterial SSU rRNA". It matches the Rfam family "Bacterial small subunit ribosomal RNA", at positions 20 to 408 of the family's 1533-position model. The record is from RNAcentral.
UGGCUCAGAGCGAACGUUAGCGGCAGGCUUAACACAUGCAAGUCGAGCGAGAAAGGGGCUUCGGCUCCGAGUAAAGCGGCGGACGGGUGCGUAACACGUGGAUAAUCUGCCUCGUGGCGGGGGACAACAGUCCGAAAGGACUGCUAAUACCGCAUGUCAGGUCGGAAACUCCGGUUUCUGACGAAAAAGAGGGCGCCCCGCAAGGGGCUCUCACCACGAGAUGAGUCCGCGUCCCAUCAGCUAGUUGGCGGUGUAAUAGACCACCAAGGCUUAGACGGGUAGCUGGUCUGAGAGGAUGACCAGCCACACUGGGACUGAGACACGGCCCCAGACUCCUACGGGAGGCAGCAGUGGGGAAUAUUGGACAAUGGCGAAAGCCUGAUCCAGCCAUGCCGCGUGAGUGA